GGGAACUUAAAAUUUGUGGUCAAGUUGUAUAUUAAGGCUUCAUUUUAUUUGAAUUUUGGAAAAGUUUCUUUUUUAAAAUUGGGGAUGCAUUAUAAAUUGUCAAUAGCCCAUAUCAGUUUGGGAUAGGGGUAAUGUGUCCCUUAUAAAGUUUUGGGCACUCCUUUCCUCUUGAGCUAGCAUUUGGGAGUGAGUUGGGUCCAUCCUAUUUUCUUAAGAUAGUAUUAGAGCCUUCCAAUUAAUGUUGAGCCUCCCAUAAAUGUUUCACACCCUUGCUGUUUGGUCCUGAGCAUGAGGGGUGCGUGUUAACAAUAGAGUAAGAAAUCACAAUGCAACAAUUUGAGUAGUAAACAAAAGAAACAGAGCAGAAAUGGCAGCAAG
This 378-nucleotide unclassified non-coding RNA is filed under the name Hevea brasiliensis (rubber tree). Lineage: Eukaryota; Viridiplantae; Streptophyta; Magnoliopsida; Malpighiales; Euphorbiaceae. The record is from RNAcentral.